UGAACGCUGGCGGUAGGCCUACCACAUGCAAGUCGAACGGCAGCACAGUAAGAGCUUGCUCUUACGGGUGGCGAGUGGCGGACGAGUGAGGAAUACAUCGGAAUCUACUUUUUCGUGGGGGAUAACGUAGGGAAACUUACGCUAAUACCGCAUACGACCUACGGGUGAAAGCAGGGGAUCUUCGGACCUUGCGCGAUUGAAUGAGCCGAUGUUGGAUUAGCUAGUUGGCGGGGUAAAGGCCCACCAAGGCGACGAUCCGUAGCUGGUCUGAGAGGAUGAUCAGCCACACUGGAACUGAGACACGGUCCAGACUCCUACGGGAGGCAGCAGUGGGGAAUAUUGGACAAUGGGCGCAAGCCUGAUCCAGCCAUACCGCGUGGGUGAAGAAGGCCUUCGGGUUGUAAAGCCCUUUUGUUGGGAAAGAAAAGCAGCAGGUUAAUACCCCGCUGUUCUGACGGUACCCAAAGAAUAAGCACCGGCUAACUUCGUG
This 490-nucleotide ribosomal RNA is filed under the name uncultured bacterium. RNAcentral describes it as "partial 16S ribosomal RNA". It matches the Rfam family "Bacterial small subunit ribosomal RNA", at positions 30 to 507 of the family's 1533-position model. The record is from RNAcentral.